CCGGCCUUGGCCACGGUACGCGUGCAAGGCCGACCGCCACAGAGAGCUUCAAGGGGUAGGAAUCUCUCUCGGCGAGUUUGCAGAGCCACUGACGGGUGCAAAGACGGCACACGGAACACCCCUGCGGAGCAUGCAGGGACACGAGGUUUCCAAGAUUACGCUAUAUACUCUUCCUUGUACAAGGAACAGCUCUCGAGUGCUGCACGGAGAGCUGCAGACACUUCGGUGAAGCUGGGACGACUUUCCGGCCUGCAAGUGGGACGAGGAGGGAAAUUAGUGUGCUGGGCUCCGACUCUGCGGGCAUUCAGCCAGCGCCACAUAGACAAAAAAAGCCUGAUCGCUUGAAACGAGUCUGCCAAUCACAAUGAGCUAUGGAGAUGAGCCAUCGUCAGCCACAUGAGGAGCCACGGAAAGCCUGAUUGCUUGAAAUCGUCUGCGGCAAUUGGGUGAAGCAGACGACAUUACUACUCCAUGUGUCAAUGCGGUGAAGGAGUGACAGAAGCCAUUAAGCAGGCUUUCUUUAUCGAGGUAGCAUUGAUUCUGCUCCCAGCUCUUGUUCGAAAAGAAAGAACAGCACAAAAACUUUGUCACGGACUUUGCACGCCCAUAUAUCUUGUUGCACCAUUGCCCUGAAUGAUUGCACGCUUGCUUUUGCUAUCAUUACUAGUAAAAAGGAGACAUAUGCCUCCAUUUAUUUGCAAUGCUGUUGACAAAGCAGUGACCAUUAGCCAAUGCCACUGAUGUUGCUCUAAAUAGAUUACAGUUUGGCACGACUCUGAAUGUUGUAUGAUUAUAGGACCUGACUUUUUUGGGUUAUACUUUUCAAAGCGAUAAAAACCGGGCUGUUUGGUGGUACAUCCUAA
Long non-coding RNA from Ornithodoros turicata, 863 nucleotides. RefSeq lists it as uncharacterized. The transcript has 3 exons. NCBI's taxonomy places the organism in Eukaryota, Metazoa, Arthropoda, Arachnida, Ixodida, Argasidae. The record is from RefSeq and is a predicted model, not a curated record.